UGAAGAAGCGCAUUCCUUAUCUCACCCUUGCUGAUCUUUCCCUUGUCCUCUAUAUCCAAAUCAGUGAAUAUAUUCUCCGCCAACAUUGCAAAUUCGUCUUCGUCCUCCAAAAACAGCCGCAGAGUAUUCCCAUCCAAAAUAGACACCACUAAUGGAUUAUCUUUUAGUUCAUCGGCUAUGGCAGUGAGAUAGUCAUUGAGCUUAGACGUUGCUGCUUCUUUGGUGAGUUCAGAACGCCGGAAACUGACAUCAUCAUCGACGUUGACGCGUUGGAGAGCGGAGGACUUGAGACAUUGAGGCAAUGAGAGGCCAAAGAGGGAAUCAGAGGCUUCAGAUUCAGCGAAAUCGAGGACUUGAGCUCCGGUAAAAGUGACUUCGGAAUCCGGCAUGGCCACCUGGAGCGAUCUGAGAUGGGUUCCGUCUAGGACAGUCAUGCC
This 437-nucleotide unclassified non-coding RNA is filed under the name Hevea brasiliensis (rubber tree). Lineage: Eukaryota; Viridiplantae; Streptophyta; Magnoliopsida; Malpighiales; Euphorbiaceae. The record is from RNAcentral.